GGCAGUAAAGAUAAAAUUAAUUUAUUUGACUUCACAACUUCAUGGGCCACACAGGGGCCCCACAGUCCUAGAAGCACAGCCUGUGGCAGUGGGCUGGGGAGGCCAGUUCUCUGGACUGCCUGCUCCCUUGUCCAGAGCUGCCUUGAGCCAGGUCCCUCCUGACCCCAUCAUCCUGUUCCCAUAUGCAAGGGCUGCUCAGGUCCACCUGCAAUAAACCCAGGCCUGCCUCUGGCAGCAAGGACAGGGCCUCGUGGGUGGCAGCAGCACUGGUCCUCGUGGCUGUGGGUGUGGGUGGGUGGGUAGGUAGGUGGGAAGGAGGGCAGGCAGGAGGGUGUGGUUCAGUGCAGAGAGCUGCUGUUCUGCUCUUCAAAGGCCAUCUUGCCCAGAAGCUGGCUGUCCAACUCCACCCCACUUACAGGCAGCUGGAAGAAGUUCAUUUCAGCUGCUAAGGCUGCCAUGGCAGAAGGGUCCUGGCCAAACUGAGCUCGCAACAUCAUGUCCAUUUUCUCCAGCCUCCUCUUGAGCCGCUUGGCCUCUCGCUCUCGGAUGAGCCGGGCCUGCCGCUUUUCCGGGGUUUCAUUGGCCCGCUUCAGCCUCAUGGCCUCCCGAUCCCGCUGCAGCCGGCGUGCCCGCUGCUCGUCUGUCUCCUGCAUGCGCUGCAAGCGCUUGGCUUCACGGUCCCUCAUGCGCCUCACCUCCCGCUCCUCGGGGGUCUCAUUGUCCCGCCGGCUCUUCUUGGCCGUGCGCUCUCGUUCCAGCCGCUGCAGCCGUACUUCCAAAGGCUCAUUCUGUCGACGUAGAGCCCACUUGCGUACACUGGGAGUCUGGGCUUCCAGCAGUUUACGGUAGGCAGCACAGUUGUUGCACACAAGCAGAAUUCCAGCAGGGUACACUGGAGGACUAAAGGCAAUAUCCUUCCCCUCAGCACUGGAGGGACCCUCAUUGUGGACUGUGGGUAGGGAUUCCAUAUUUAGUACUUCAGGAAGUUUCUCACUGG
This 997-nucleotide long non-coding RNA is filed under the name Homo sapiens (human). RNAcentral's name for it is "HSALNT0386786". The record is from RNAcentral. Lineage: Eukaryota; Metazoa; Chordata; Mammalia; Primates; Hominidae.